AGUUGUGUAGCUCAGUUGGAUUAGAGCAUCUCGCUACGAACGAGAAGGUCGCGGGUUCAAGUCCCUCCACAACUGCCA
RNAcentral lists this transfer RNA (78 nucleotides) under Vibrio parahaemolyticus. RNAcentral describes it as "tRNA-Arg". It matches the Rfam family "tRNA". From Rfam's summary of the family: Transfer RNA (tRNA) molecules are approximately 80 nucleotides in length. Lineage: Bacteria; Pseudomonadati; Pseudomonadota; Gammaproteobacteria; Vibrionales; Vibrionaceae. The record is from RNAcentral.